UACGUAGGGUGCAAGCGUUGUCCGGAAUUAUUGGGCGUAAAGAGCUCGUAGGUGGCCUGUCGCGUCGGCUGUGAAAACUCGGGGCUCAACCCCGCGCUUGCAUUCGAUACGGGCAGGCUCGAGUUCGGUAGGGGAGACUGGAACUCCUGGUGUAGCGGUGAAAUGCGCAGAUAUCAGGAGGAGCACCGGUGGCGAAGGCGGGUCUCUGGGCCGAUACUGACGCUGAGGAGCGAAAGCGUGGGGAGCGAACAGG
This 253-nucleotide ribosomal RNA is filed under the name uncultured bacterium. RNAcentral describes it as "partial 16S ribosomal RNA". It matches the Rfam family "Bacterial small subunit ribosomal RNA", at positions 524 to 776 of the family's 1533-position model. The record is from RNAcentral.